RNAcentral lists this ribosomal RNA (253 nucleotides) under uncultured bacterium. Its description in RNAcentral is "partial 16S ribosomal RNA". It matches the Rfam family "Bacterial small subunit ribosomal RNA", at positions 524 to 776 of the family's 1533-position model. The record is from RNAcentral.
UACAGAGGUCCCAAGCGUUGUUCGGAUUCAUUGGGCGUAAAGGGUGCGUAGGCGGCGCGGUAAGUCGGGUGUGAAAUCUCGGAGCUUAACUCCGAAACUGCAUUCGAUACUGCCGUGCUUGAGGACUGGAGAGGAGACUGGAAUUUACGGUGUAGCGGUGAAAUGCGUAGAUAUCGUAAGGAAGACCGGUGGCGAAGGCGGGUCUCUGGGCCGAUACUGACGCUGAGGAGCGAAAGCGUGGGGAGCGAACAGG